Small nuclear RNA from Dromiciops gliroides (monito del monte), 104 nucleotides. The record is from RefSeq and is a predicted model, not a curated record. NCBI's taxonomy places the organism in Eukaryota, Metazoa, Chordata, Mammalia, Microbiotheria, Microbiotheriidae.
GUGUUUUCUUUGGCAGCACAUAUACUAAAACUGAAACAAUAGAGAGAUUAGCAUGGCCCCUAUGAAAGGAUGAUAUGCAAAUUCAUGAUGCUUUCCAUAUUUUU